GCAUAUUUGAAGGCCUCUAGGAAAGUUUUAGCUGGAUGGAAGACUUUGGAAAACCUUUACCUUGUUAAUUACAAGAUUCUUCAAGAAGCAGAAACAAAUUAGAAUAUACAAGAAAAUAAGAAACUGUUCAGAUUUCCAAUUUCCAUUUGAGGAUUUUUUUUUUAAACUUAUUGAAUAUUGUACUUAAGCAUGAAGUGAAUCUUAGAGGCCAAUUUCUCCUCAUUUGUGCUGUCAGGCCAUGAUCAUGGCCAAAUUCAGUGACUAUGUCCAAGCAGAAUCAUUUUAAGGAAGCGGUCGUUUGGAUUUUUAACCAUUGAAGACAACAAUCACAAUAGAUUGCAAUGGCUGAUAGUUUGGGCUAUCUUAGGAAAAGUGGUAUACAUGCAAUGACUGUCAUUGGAGCUCCAAAAUGGGAUGUGUGGUUUCAAUUAGAAGCUGACUUCACAUAAGAAGCCCUAGAUCUAACAAGAUGUUUGUAAAACUGUUCUCAUGGUGUAUUCAGUUUAAACAUUAUCUAGAGCCGGCUGACUUGCAGGAAGAGCUGAAGCUGAAAACAAUAUUCUUACUAAGGAGCACAGUAGAAAAGACAGUUUGGCAAGUCUUCCAUAUCAGGAGGAGAAAUGAACACCAGCAGGUGAGUGCAGGGGAUGGGGUGUGGGCCUGCUCAGCACAGGUACUUUUGUGUUCCUAGAAACAAGGAGAAGCAGGAAGGAUGCUCGACCCCUCCAUGGCUGCAGUGGGAUCAGUUCUGGCCGGAGCUGUGAUGCGUGGGGAGGCUCAGAGGAGGAGCUGCUGCAGGUGUGGAGGUGCCCACAGGACCCCACGGACCAGCCCAGGAAGAUCUCUAUUAUUUGGAAGAAAUACGCAUCUGUCUUGCUGACAGUGUAGGGGGAAGUUAUUCACCACUGUAGUGGCAUCAGAGGAUACCCUCAGCAGGAUUACCUUAUAUGAAUGAGUUUGAUAGGAGUCACCAUGGUGAGGAAAGGAUAAUGGAAUUUCAGACAAACUCUUCAGACUGAGAGAAAAAGUCCUCAACCGUGGUCUAGAAUACUGUCCAGUGCUUAUGGGUUAUAAAGUGAAAAUCAUCAAAACUGUCCUUGACAGGAUGUUUCUUUCCAUUAGUUGAUUAAAAUGGUUUAUUGUUGCCUACAGCGUCAUUACUUUAAAUGUGUUUUUUAACGAAGAGCAGAUGUGUCCAUGUCUUGCACUGUUUCCCUUUGUGUGGUUUCUGAUACAGAAGUGAAUCACUACCUUGGCAGAUCCUCCUGUGGAAAGGGAGAGGGAAAGGUGAGGGGCUCAGCAAUGGGCUGGGGUAUCAUCUGGGGAGGUUGUGCUGCAGAAAAUUGGAGGCAAAACAUGCAAACCUGCAAGCAGCAAAUGCUCAGAGUAGAAAAAAACCCCACAUCUGGAAUUAUCUGCCUGGUGUUGCUGUAUGUUUGCUCUGACAAAGCAAGAAGUGGGUUUUGGCAUUUUUUCAGACUGACAGCUCUAACGUUUCAGAUAAAGCAUGGAAGUGGAGAGUAGCUGAUCCUAAAACAUUAAACAAGGCUGCAACCCCAUGAACUCUCAUCUAUUCACUGCUGUUACAAAGAGAACUGAAAAAGUCGUAGUUUUUGAGAUGUAUGUUAAAUUUCUUUGUUUCUUGUCCCAUCCAUAUUUGAUGGGGGAGCUGCAAUCUCAAACAAAAAUCCUAUUUCCAAAUCUAAGGGUUAUUUCAAGCCUUAGUUAUAAAACAUGUACCUUUCCAUUCCCUAACAGAUUUUUUCUAAGGCAUGUUGUCAUCCGAUGAAAAUAGGGUCUUUCACUAGUAAAUCUCACAUUAUUGGCCAUGUGACCUUAUAUUCAAUAAAUAUUUAUAUGAGAAUCAUCAGUUAAUUAAUUUCCAUUGUUUCUGUUGUAAUUCUAUACAUGCUUAUGCUAUACAAUUAGAGAAAAACACAGGCAGCCACGAGUAAAUGUUGCGCAUACAAAAUGUUUCUAUUACCCUUUACUUUUAAAAUCAUUAAUACAUUAUUAGGAGAUAUUAACAUUGUAGAGCAUGGAUCAUAUUUGCCUGUUAAUGAAAUCCAUGAAUUAUACAUUAUUUUCUAUGGAGAGUACUAGGAACAAUAUUCUUCCUUUCUAAUAGCUAUAAAAGCUGGAGGUUUCCUGGAGCACACAUCACAUCCCCUCUGCAAUACCUUCUAAUAGAAAGAAAUCCAGCUUUUCAAAACAAUCUCUCACUAAAUGAAAUAGAUUUGUUUGUGUUGCUUUGCAACACACAAGUGUGACAGUUCAUUUUAAACAAAACAGUUUUAAUAAUGUCAUUACUAAUAUCUAUUUGGUCAUCUCUCUGAAAAAUGGUGUUUUAAUAGGAAUGUUUCAUUUUAAUAAAUGGCAGAAGAGGCAAGCUGCCCUGAGUCAGCAGGAAGUGGAUAUACACCAGAGAACAGGCUGAUUGUGUUAGAUUCAUCCAGAACAUUGAACAGCACACAGACAGUCCAAGAAAAAGCAACUGGCUGUAUUCAAAUGAUUAGUCUUACUGCUAUGCUGUAGCACAGAUUCACACAUUCUUCUAUUAUUCCUUGACCUUCUGCCAAAAACUCCUACUUCAAGUAAUAAUUAGAAUUAGUGUUUCCAGUGCAUGCUUCCAUCUUCCUAACAAACAGUAAUGAAAUGUGGCUUUUACAAAAUAUGCAGUUAAUUAAACUUUUUUUUUUUUUUAACAUUGUUUGAUUAAUACAUUUCCCCUGCGCUAGCCCCUCAUUAUGCCUGACUACCUGGGACUGGUGAAUUGUAAGAAAAGCACUAUCAAUAGGAUGAGUGAAAUUUGAGAAUUUUGUACAUUAAAAUUGCUUGUGCUUUUAAUUUUUUUUUGUUUUGUUUAUGUCUUGGAAUAAACCAAAAAGAUUAUCUUUAUUUGUAAUCCUGGUUUUUAAAGUAUGUGUAAGGACAGUAUUUGUAUUAUAUAAGAACUCUACAAAUACCCUCAUUGUGAAUUUGAAGAACACAUACAUCUAGCGCUACAAGAUAAUAAGUGGAUUUCUAGGCAAGCUUUUUGAAAAGGUGUCUCAGCACUCUAUUGCUUAAUAACACUAUGCAAAUAGAUAUUCUGAUUUCAUUUUUUAAAAUAUUAUUUCAUGCUUUUUUACUGCCUGCCUUAAUUAUCCAAAUGCUGAACAAGUAUAGUCUUUUGAUUGAUGAGAGUUCCACCCCUUUACCCACACCCCUGCAGAUAUGAGGCACUACAGUUUAGUACCAUAAAUCACUGUGAUUGUAUAACUUAACUACUGUAUGAUCAGAGAUCACAUGCAGUCGUAGCCUGGAUAUGCAUUCAUCCUUAUGAAUGUUUUAGGGCUAAAUGUAUUCUGGAUGUUUGGAGAAAUUUCAGUUUCUUCACUUAAGAAAGCAAUGCAUUUUAAAUAAGCAAUUCUCGCAACAACUGGAAAUAAUCACAAAAGUCUUCUAUUUGCAAUCUUCAUUAAUGUGAGUUAUUUCAUCACUUUAGGAGAAAUCUUUUCAGAGGAAAACAACAAUUAAACCCCUCCCCCCAGGCUCUGACAGCUAAGGAUCUAUGGAUCAGCCAUUUUAGUAAUUAACCACAAUUCCUCUGAUU
This is a long non-coding RNA of Prinia subflava (tawny-flanked prinia), 3595 nucleotides long. RefSeq lists it as uncharacterized. NCBI's taxonomy places the organism in Eukaryota, Metazoa, Chordata, Aves, Passeriformes, Cisticolidae. The transcript has 4 exons. The record is from RefSeq and is a predicted model, not a curated record.